GGCCAAUCAGGGGCCGCUGCAGAACGACCAAUCACAGACGCUGCAGGGUGGGGGCAGCCCCUCCCCAGGGGCCCCGGGGGCCCCCCGGCUCCGCCCCCCCCAAGGUAGGACCCCCGCGGCAUCAUGGGAUGGGGGCGGCCCCUCCACCUGCAGGUUUUUGGCGUGUCCUUGGCAUGUUCUUAGCGUGUUUUGGCGUGUGCAGGCCCUGUUCAUGGGGACGGUGGCCGCCACGGGGACGGUGGCCGCCCUGGGGCUCCUCGGGGCUUGGUGGUGCUGUUCACGGGGGUGGUGGCCGCCGCGGGGACGGUGGCCGCCCUGGGCCUCCUCGGCGGCUCGGUGGCCGCCUCCGUCUUCGACUGCACCCACCUGGUGACCGACCGGGUCCGGCGCACCGUCAAGUUCCUCUGCGCCCUGGCCCGCGGCGUCCCCAUCGUCACCCCCGAGUGGCUGCUCAAGAGCGCCCACAGCGGCUGCGCGCUGGCUCCGGGCGCCUUCCUGGUGCGGGACGCGGAGCAGGAGCGCGGCCUGGGCUUCAACCUCGCCACCGCCCUGCGGCGCGCCCGCCGCCGCGGCCUCCUCGAGGUGUUCCCCCGUCCCUACGUCGUCCCCGUGGUGGCCCUGAGGCGUUGGCUGUCGCCCCAGAGCGUCUCCGUGGUGUCCCCGAGGUGUUUCCUAUCUCCGUGGUGUCCCCGAGGUGGUCCCCAUCUCUGAGACGUCCCCAAGGUGUCCCCGUGGUGGCCCCAAGGCGUUCCCCGUCCCUACGGUGUCCCCGUGGUGGCCCUGAGGCAUUGGCCAUCGCCGAUGUGUCCCCAAAGCGUUUCCACGGCAUCUCCAGGGUGUCCCCAAGGCGUCCCCAAGUGUUCUCCAUCCCUGAGGUGGCCCUGUGGUGGCCCCGUGGUGGCCCCAAGCUGUUCCUCGUCCCUGAGGUGUCCUUGAGGCAUCACUUGUCACCGAUGUGUCCCUAAAGUAUCUCCACGGCAU
This 981-nucleotide long non-coding RNA is filed under the name Apteryx haastii (Great spotted kiwi). Its description in RNAcentral is "lncRNA (ENSAHAG00000002698.1)". The record is from RNAcentral. Lineage: Eukaryota; Metazoa; Chordata; Aves; Apterygiformes; Apterygidae.